Molecule: long non-coding RNA, 289 nt
Filed under: Elaeis guineensis (African oil palm)
Lineage: Eukaryota; Viridiplantae; Streptophyta; Magnoliopsida; Arecales; Arecaceae
Description: long non-coding RNA (EGUI_LNC073692)
Source: RNAcentral
AAUGCUCUCCGAGCCGUCGUGUCAACCUACCAUUUGAAGUUGAAAUUCUCCACCAGCCAGGGGAUCGGAGAGGUACGGGGAGACCAAGCCCUGGCCAGGCACUGCUACAGCAUAGCCUUGCAAGAAAGCGACCAAUCUGGCCCCUGUCCCGUUGAUGGGUUGGAUGCGCGUGAUGACCUCAUCGAAGAGAGGGGCACCCCGAUUGAGGAUCUGAUACCAAUCCCUUUGAACGACGGGAACGCGGAGCAUGUAGCGAUGAUCGGCUCCAACCUAGAGGGGGAGGUGCGGA